GAGGGAGGCUCAGCCUCGGCUGCUCCUCCGUCACGUGAUGCGCCGUGGGUGAGCCCCGCCGCCGUUGGUCCAGCCAUGUCACGUGACGGUGGCAGUGAGUUCUUCAGCACGUGGGGAAGGAACUGAAUUGGUGACAGGAAUGAGAGCGGCCUUCUUCCUAUUUUCUACUGGCUCAGAUUCCGUGGCUGUAAACUGAGGCUAACAGCAUUUCUGUCAGGCUAGAUCAGUUACGGGACUAAUAACCAUCCCCACAGAACCUUUUUGUGCCGCUCGGAGAGCAUGCUCCAUCUGGGAGAACAGUGAUUGCGUCACACCUUUGUUCCCAGCUCUGGCUGCACUUUAAGCAUCACUGAUACUGACAGGAACGUGCAGCGCUCUGGAAAUGGUGGUUUCGUCCACUGGUUGCUGCAAAGCAAGAAGAGGAAUCGCAUGCAGGGGACUAAAUUGGUCCCUGGUGGAAAUACGUACUUCAAUAGCAUUACAUUAAAGAGGGAUUUGGCCCAAGUUAUCCAGACCAGAGCCGUAAACUGUUGGAUUUUUAAAGGGACACACUUGAGACCACUGCCCCAACUCAAACUAACUUCUUUCCCAAGUGGAAAAUAUUGGGUAAGCCUGGAAUGUGAUUUGAGAAGGGAAUGAGAACACAGGCCAAUUCCUGCUGACAGUUACACCUGUGUAGCCUUAUUGACUUCAGGGAGAACAGAUUUUUGCACAAGAAUAGAUUUGGGUCCUUUCUGCUUUUUCACAUCUGGUAUAAGCAGAAUCUCAUUCACUUUCCUCCCCUAAACUCUGAGCACUUUAAGGACAAAAAUAAGCAAGGUCUGCUUGAUUUACACAUACGGGAAGCUCUCCUUUCAUUCUACACCAGCCUUAAACAAACACCAGACCCGCUGUAACAAGGGUGUCACUACAGCAGCCUUGGUUGGACUGUUCUUUUGAAAGAUCCUUAAUGGUUCUUUUAAGCUGCUGAUUUUCAGUGAAGUCUUUUUGUUCAGGGGGGCAGAGAACACAACAGGGAAUAGCUCUGUUCUGUCAACUAGUCAUUCAAAAGCUGAAAGGCUUUAGCUUAAGUUUGUUUAAUGUUUGUACAGGGAUUUUGAAGAGCUAACAUAGCACAGAUGUGCUAAAUAUUAUGACUGGGCAACCAUCUAAAGAUUUGUGUCACUUCUAGCGGUUACUUUUUUCUUACAGAAAGCAUAAAACAAACAAAUGCAAACUGUAGGGGGCUGGUGCACACAGAACUCAUGCUUAAAAAAAACCGUCAUGUCAGAGCUGCUGAUCACACGUUCUAGAAUAGAUAAUACUUAGUCCUGCCAUAAGUGCAGGGGACCGGACUAGAUGACCUCUCGAGGUCCCUUCCAGUCAUGUGAUUCUAUUCCAUGAUUCUAAUUGUGGAAGAGCUUGGUGACAGAAUGGCCUGAUGUGGUGAAUCACGGAGAUUAACUACACAAACUGGGUAUCAGCCCACAAAUAAUAUUUGGGUUCAAUAUGAAAACAGUAAUACAUUCUCCUCAGCCAGUGCAACGCUGGGAGGCAGCUUUCAGAGCAAGACAGCCUCAAAUACAACGCCACCCAAUGUAAUUUCCCCACUCCUACUUCCUCUACUUCAGUGGAUUUUACACCUGAGUGGUUUUCUUUUACAUAAUAAAAGCUGGCUGCCUCCCAGACUGCAGUCAGAGUGAGAUGCGCUGUGUGGUGUAGAGGCCAUAGCUUGGGGAAAACACCGGCAGGGCUUGGCUUUGCACUGGGCCAGGGGAGAGCUGAGGAUAGAAG
Molecule: long non-coding RNA, 1773 nt
Organism: Mauremys reevesii (Reeves's turtle)
Lineage: Eukaryota; Metazoa; Chordata; Testudines; Geoemydidae
Exons: 3
Source: RefSeq, a predicted model, not a curated record